Molecule: RNase P RNA, 203 nt
Filed under: Vulcanisaeta distributa DSM 14429
Lineage: Archaea; Thermoproteati; Thermoproteota; Thermoprotei; Thermoproteales; Thermoproteaceae
Description: RNaseP truncated form
Rfam family: RNaseP truncated form
Source: Rfam by way of RNAcentral
CAGCCACGGCGAACAACCGGGCGAGCCCGGCAACGGCUCGCCUGAGGAAACUUCCCCACGACACCGUGGGUCCCCGCGGGGCAACCCGCCGACCGAGAGGUCGCUGGGGAACAACGGCCCAAAUAGGGACCUGUGAUCUCCACGGGUGAGGUCCGGGUAGGGCCUUAGACGAAUAGUACAGAAGGGGAGUUAUGCCGUGGCUG